RNAcentral lists this ribosomal RNA (421 nucleotides) under uncultured Bacteroidota bacterium. RNAcentral describes it as "bacterial SSU rRNA". It matches the Rfam family "Bacterial small subunit ribosomal RNA", at positions 356 to 774 of the family's 1533-position model. Lineage: Bacteria; Pseudomonadati; Bacteroidota. The record is from RNAcentral.
GAGGAAUAUUGGUCAAUGGGCGAGAGCCUGAACCAGCCAAGUCGCGUGAAGGAAGACUGCCUUAUGGGUUGUAAACUUCUUUUAUACAGGAAUAAAAAGGCUUACGUGUAGGCCAUUGCAAGUACUGUAUGAAUAAGCACCGGCUAACUCCGUGCCAGCAGCCGCGGUAAUACGGAGGGUGCGAGCGUUAUCCGGAUUCACUGGGUUUAAAGGGUGUGUAGGCGGGCAGGUAAGUCAGCGGUGAAAGCCCCGAGCUUAACUUGGGAAUUGCCGUUGAUACUAUCUGUCUUGAAUGUUGUGGAGGCGAGCGGAAUAUGGCAUGUAGCGGUGAAAUGCUUAGAUAUGCCAUAGAACACCGAUUGCGAAGGCAGCUCGCUACGCAACCAUUGACGCUGAGGCACGAAAGCGUGGGGAGCAAACA